CCUACGGGAGGCAGCAGUGAGGAAUAUUGGUCAAUGGCCGUAAGGCUGAACCAGCCAAGUCGCGUGAAGGAAGAAGGAUCUAUGGUUUGUAAACUUCUUUUAUAGGGGAAUAAAGGUAUCCACGUGUGGCUAUUUGCAUGUACCCUAUGAAUAAGCAUCGGCUAACUCCGUGCCAGCAGCCGCGGUAAUACGGAGGAUGCGAGCGUUAUCCGGAUUUAUUGGGUUUAAAGGGUGCGUAGGUUGUUUUUUAAGUCAGCGGUGAAAGUCUGUGGCUCAACCAUAAAAUUGCCGUUGAAACUGGAAGGCUGGAGUGUGGUAGAGGUAGGCAGAAUGCGAGGUGUAGCGGUGAAAUGCAUAGAUAUCACGCAGAACUCCGAUUGCGAAGGCAGCUUACUAAGCCAAAACUGACACUGAAGCACGAAAGCGUGGGGAUCAAACAGGAUUAGAUACCCUUGUAGUC
This 460-nucleotide ribosomal RNA is filed under the name uncultured bacterium. RNAcentral describes it as "partial 16S ribosomal RNA". It matches the Rfam family "Bacterial small subunit ribosomal RNA", at positions 338 to 795 of the family's 1533-position model. The record is from RNAcentral.